AAACGACUCUCGGCAACGGAUAUCUCGGCUCACGUAUCGAUGAAGAACGUAGCAAAAUGCGAUACUUGGUGUGAAUUGCAGAAUCCCGUGAACCAUCGAGUUUUUGAACGCAAGUUGCGCCCGAAGCCAUCCGGUUGAGGGCACGUCUGCCUGGGCGUCACGC
This 163-nucleotide ribosomal RNA is filed under the name Aldama parkinsonii. RNAcentral's name for it is "Viguiera parkinsonii 5.8S ribosomal RNA". It matches the Rfam family "5.8S ribosomal RNA". Rfam says of the family: 5.8S ribosomal RNA (5.8S rRNA) is a component of the large subunit of the eukaryotic ribosome. It is transcribed by RNA polymerase I as part of the 45S precursor that also contains 18S and 28S rRNA. The record is from RNAcentral. Lineage: Eukaryota; Viridiplantae; Streptophyta; Magnoliopsida; Asterales; Asteraceae.